CCUACGGGGGGCAGCAGUGAGGAAUAUUGGUCAAUGGACGAGAGUCUGAACCAGCCAAGUAGCGUGAAGGAUGACUGCCCUAUGGGUUGUAAACUUCUUUUAUAUGGGAAUAAAAUGUUCCACGUGUGGGAUUUUGUAUGUACCAUAUGAAUAAGGAUCGGCUAACUCCGUGCCAGCAGCCGCGGUAAUACGGAGGAUCCGAGCGUUAUCCGGAUUUAUUGGGUUUAAAGGGAGCGUAGGUGGAUUGUUAAGUCAGUUGUGAAAGUUUGCGGCUCAACCGUAAAAUUGCAGUUGAAACUGGCAGUCUUGAGUACAGUAGAGGUGGGCGGAAUUCGUGGUGUAGCGGUGAAAUGCUUAGAUAUCACGAAGAACUCCGAUUGCGAAGGCAGUUCACUGGACUGCAACCGACACUGAGGCUCGAAAGUGUGGGUAUCAAACAGGAUUAGAUACCCCUGUAGUC
RNAcentral lists this ribosomal RNA (460 nucleotides) under uncultured bacterium. RNAcentral describes it as "partial 16S ribosomal RNA". It matches the Rfam family "Bacterial small subunit ribosomal RNA", at positions 338 to 795 of the family's 1533-position model. The record is from RNAcentral.